Panthera pardus (leopard) is the source of this 113-nucleotide ribosomal RNA. The record is from Ensembl. NCBI's taxonomy places the organism in Eukaryota, Metazoa, Chordata, Mammalia, Carnivora, Felidae.
GACAUUUGGUAGAGACUGUUGAAGCCACCUGGUCCCAGCAGACCCCAGAAGGCGGCCACAUUCGCUGGUGCUGGGGCAAGUUCGUUGAGGGUGAAGCCUGGUGCCAGAUGUGU